Parus major (Great Tit) is the source of this 757-nucleotide long non-coding RNA. RefSeq lists it as uncharacterized. The transcript has 4 exons. Lineage: Eukaryota; Metazoa; Chordata; Aves; Passeriformes; Paridae. The record is from RefSeq and is a predicted model, not a curated record.
UCUUCUCUUUGCAUUCAAGGACUGCAAUACUGUUGAUCCUACUCAUUCCUCUUGGUAUCUUGAGCAUCUGGAUUUCCUCUGACCCAUUAAAUUGACCAGCAGACAACAGAGGCACAUGAGAGACAGCUCCUGUGAGAGUGAGACUUUUCCCAGCUGCCCUAGGAAGGUUUUAUCUGCCCCUCCUUCUUGAUUAUCAGCCUGAUAUUUACCUGGAGCACUGAAUAACUGCUUUUGCUCAACAGUAGGGUUGAGAAAUGCAUCCCCUGGGCCCCCCAUCUUUCACCCUUCCAACAGGGUGUCCUGCUCUUUGGUACAGCACACACAGGCCUUGUGUGCUUAUUUAAUUCUGAGUUUGAAGAGCCAGAUGCAAAGAGAAGUGGAGGGAGUACUUUGAAGAAUAAGAACAGGAUCUCUUAUGGCAGCUUUCUUGCAUGGUACUAUUUGCUGCUGCAGAAAUGAGAAAGUAUUCCUCCUGGCAGAAGAAGCAUGGCAUAUGGCAUCAGGAAUUUGAAACAUCUCUGCAAGACCAGAGGCAGGAAUACAAGUGUAUCCCACAGAUGUGCCCUGACCACUUGAGCCUACUCAUCUGCUGACAUCUGUUGAAUGUGGCCCUGAGCUCACAGACCCUCUUCUUGAGAUUUGUAACAAAGGUGGUUAAAAUUUAAAAAUAAAAAAAUCCCAAACAAUCCUAAACAAGUAAUGCACCUCUCUCUUCUUUUUUUUUUCUUUUUCUCAGAUAAGAUUUGUUCAGGACCAA